AUGCAUGUCUAAGUACAGCUCGGUGGAGCAAUCUACCGGGCGAAACCGCGGACGGCUCAUUAAAUCAGUCGUGGUCUACAUGGGCUAAAGUUACCUUUUGGAUAACUGUGGAAAAUCCAGAGCUAAUACAUGCAAUUUUCGAGUCCUGAGCUAAAGCCUGGUAGUUGUCUCGUAUGAUUAUCAGGUGAGUAACUCGGGAUGCUUUUAUUAGACCGAGGCGCGCGUAUGCUCGGUUUAGCCUUUUGAUUUCUUUGAUUUCGAUUGGCGGCCGUUUGUGUGUCGUGUGUAAGCGCUUAAUGGUGAACCCUGGAUAACACUUGAUGAGCGUGCUUUUAUGGCACGCCGCCUUCUUACGAGUGACUGCCCUAUCAGCUAGUAACGUAUGUUAUACGCGAACGCUGGCUAUAACGGGUAACGGGGAAUCAGAGUUCGAUUCCGGAGAGGCAGCCUGAGAAACGGCUACCACG
This 467-nucleotide ribosomal RNA is filed under the name Streetsia sp. USNM IZ 1450593. Its description in RNAcentral is "SSU rRNA". It matches the Rfam family "Eukaryotic small subunit ribosomal RNA", at positions 51 to 414 of the family's 1831-position model. RNAcentral also lists the same sequence under 1 other name. Lineage: Eukaryota; Metazoa; Arthropoda; Malacostraca; Amphipoda; Oxycephalidae. The record is from RNAcentral.